CCUACGGGAGGCAGCAGUGGGGAAUAUUGCACAAUGGGGGAAACCCUGAUGCAGCGACGCCGCGUGAGUGAUGAAGUAUCUCGGUACGUAAAGCCCUAUCAGCAGGGAAGAUAAUGACGGUAUCUGACCAAUAAGCCCCGGCUAACUCCGUGCCAGCAGCCGCGGUAAUACGUAGGGGGCAAGCGUUAUCCGGAUUUACUGGGUGUAAAGGGAGCGUAGACGGCAGAACAAGUCUGGAGUGAAAUCCUGUGGCUUAACCCCGGAACUGCUUUGGAAACUGUGAGGCUAGAGUGCGGGAGGGGUAAGCGGAAUUCCUAGUGUAGCGGUAAAAUGCGUAGAUAUUAGGAGGAACACCGAUGGCGAAGGCGACUUACUGGACUGUAACUGACGUUGAGGCUCGAAAGCGUGGGGAGCAAACAGGAUUAGAUACCCCUGUAGUC
Molecule: ribosomal RNA, 440 nt
Filed under: uncultured bacterium
Lineage: Bacteria
Description: partial 16S ribosomal RNA
Rfam family: Bacterial small subunit ribosomal RNA
Source: RNAcentral